This 253-nucleotide ribosomal RNA is filed under the name uncultured bacterium. RNAcentral describes it as "partial 16S ribosomal RNA". It matches the Rfam family "Bacterial small subunit ribosomal RNA", at positions 524 to 776 of the family's 1533-position model. The record is from RNAcentral.
UACGUAGGGUGCAAGCGUUAAUCGGAAUUACUGGGCGUAAAGCGUACGAAGGCGGCUUUGCAAGACAGGUGUGAAAUCCCCGGGCCUAACCUGGGAACUGCAUUUGUGACUGCAUAGCUAGAGUUUGUCAGAGGGGGGUGGAAUUCCACGUGUAGCAGUGAAAUGCGUAGAUAUGUGGAGGAACACCGAUGGCGAAGGCAGCCCCCUGGGAUGUGACUGACGCUCAUGUACGAAAGCGUGGGGAGCAAACAGG